ACCUCUUCCCAUUCCGAACAGAGCAGUUAAGCCCGCCAUCGCCGAUGGUACUGCAAUGCAAUGCGGGAGAGUAGGCAGCCGCCGUUU
RNAcentral lists this ribosomal RNA (87 nucleotides) under Prevotella sp. Lineage: Bacteria; Pseudomonadati; Bacteroidota; Bacteroidia; Bacteroidales; Prevotellaceae. The record is from RNAcentral.